Long non-coding RNA from Aplysia californica (California sea hare), 576 nucleotides. RefSeq lists it as uncharacterized. NCBI's taxonomy places the organism in Eukaryota, Metazoa, Mollusca, Gastropoda, Aplysiida, Aplysiidae. The transcript has 2 exons. The record is from RefSeq and is a predicted model, not a curated record.
CUAUAAGGUAGUGUCUCUUACCACCGAGUAGCGCGGUGGUUCUCGACGCUGAGGUCAAUUGCCACCGAGUGCAUUAGAGCUCUUUUGCGUUUAUGAGUAGGCUUGGCUGUCUUAGUUCGUGAACUUCCGGCACACACAGCGUCUUGGCUACCGUCAGGCAUGGCGUCUUUCGUUGAAGAUUGAAGGGACGUUUAAUUCUUUUGAUGAAUUCAAUCAGAAAUUUGUCAAUUUUAAAGAAAAGAAUUUUGUUGUGUUCAGAACUAAAUCCUCAGAGAAGGUGGGAACAACGAAUGCAAAAACCAUACAACAGAUCGAUCCGAAAUUUGUGUACAGCCGUGUACAUUACGUGUGCACACACUUUGGACAGCCCAGGUACCGCGGGACCGGUGUGAGAUCCAAAACAAAACACUCAGCAACAGGAUGCAAGGCAUCAUUUGUACUAAAGUACAAUUAUUAUGAAAAGCAUCUGCAUAUUGCAAAUGCUCACAUGGAUCACAACCAUCCAACGACACCUGAAACUGUUGCACAGGAGCACCAAGUCAAGCGACUUGCACCAGCUCAGCUAAAGACUUUGGA